AUGCCCCGGGCCCCGGCACGCAGCGGCGGGGGCUCCUCCCCGCGGGGAAGAUGCCCCGGGCCCGGGUCGCGGAAGGGCGGGCGUGGCCCAGGGAAUCCCGCGAAGCCGCCCCAGCGCCUGCCGGCGGGGCGCCCCGGGCUUUCCCCGCCGCCGGGUGCGCGGCGCCCGCCCGGCGCGGACCCUCCUGCCCCGCGGAGCGCGAGCCCCGGAGCCAAGCAGGUGGGUGUGGAGCUGGGCCGGGCCCCGGGGGAGCGGCGGGCGCGCCCCGGGAGAGGGAGGCGCCGGCGAGGUGUGGGCGGCGCCCGGCCGCGCCCUGGGCUCGGGGGCGCUGUCCCAGGCCGAGCGCACGGCUCCGGGCCCGCCGCCCACCUCGGGAGCCGCGAGCGCCCGGGAGGAGGAGGAGGAGGAGGGGGAGGAGGAGGAGGAGGAGGUGGAGGCGGUGGAGGAGGUGGAGGAGCAGAGGCGGCGGCGGCGGCGGCGGCCCCUCCAGCCCGCGGGUGCGCGGAGCGCGGGAGGAGGCGGAGCGCGAGGCGGGGUGGCCGCGGGCGGGUGUGCGCGCCGGCCCGGCGCCCCCGAGCGCCCUGCCUCGCCUCCCGCGCGCAGCCUGUCCCCGGCUCCGCCACAGACCCACGCCCCCCCGGCACCCCACGCCCACCGCGCACCCCGCCCCCGCCCCCGCGGGCGCCGCCACCUCUCCGCCCGCGGCCCGAGCGAGCGGCAACUCUCCGGCCCGCGCCGCUCGCCUUCCCGGCUCCUUCCGCGCGCGGCGAGCUCAGCCCCGCUCGAUUUUUUUUUUUUUCUUUUUUUUUUCUCCCUUUUCUAUGCCAGCCCUCUCCGGUCUGGGCGGCGGCGGCGGCGGCGGCGGGGGGAUGGGGCCCCGCGUGGGGAAGGGGGCGAAGAUCGAUGAAGAUUAUUGUUCUUUUUAAGGAUCCCCUCGCGUCCUCCCGCCGCCUCCCCCGGGGCUUUCGCGCUGGAGACGGUGAAGGGAGUCAGGGAUGUGAGGACGGGGGGAGACGCCGGGAGCUGCCGCCCGCCGGGGAGACCCUCCUCUCCGCCGAGGGGAGGGGGACCGCCAGCCACAGAUCAUUGGCGAAGGGGACCGUCGCGGGGAGAGGAGCCCCGGAGGGAGCGGGGGAUCCCACGACCCUGCGUGGCGCCCGAGCCGUGCCGCCGGCCAGCGGGGUCGGUGGGAGCCAGAGACUAAAUUCCUUAAAGUUGAUAGGACAUCUUCUCCUGUACAUUUUAAGGUAA
This 1251-nucleotide long non-coding RNA is filed under the name Canis lupus familiaris (dog). Its description in RNAcentral is "lncRNA (ENSCAFG00030007474.1)". The record is from RNAcentral. Lineage: Eukaryota; Metazoa; Chordata; Mammalia; Carnivora; Canidae.